AUGGCCACCUACAUGGAGGUGAGCGUGUCUGGCUUCGAGGAAUUCUACUAGGCUGUAAAGGAGUACCAGGGCAAGACCAUUUUCGCCUACUUCAUCGGUUCUAAGGAUGCCGAAGGGAAGAGCUGGUGUCCGGAUUGCGUGGAAGCUGAGCCAGUCGUUUGAGAGGGGCUGAAGCAUGUUACGGAAGACUGCAUGUUCAUCUACUGACAAGUGGAAGACAGAUCUCACUGGAAAGACCCAAAUAAUGACUUCAGACAAAAACUGAAAUUAACCCCAGUGCCUACACUGCUUAAGUAUGGAACACCUCAAAAACUUAUGGAAUCUGAGUGCCUUCAGCCCAACCUCCUGAAAAUGAUAUUCUCUGAACAUUAAGAUU
Molecule: non-coding RNA, 376 nt
Organism: Myodes glareolus (Bank vole)
Lineage: Eukaryota; Metazoa; Chordata; Mammalia; Rodentia; Cricetidae
Source: RefSeq, a predicted model, not a curated record